ACGGGGGGGGCAAGCGUUGUUCGGAAUUACUGGGCGUAAAGGGCGCGUAGGCGGGCAGGAAAGUCUCUCGUGAAAUCCCACGGCUCAACCGUGGAAUUGCGGGAGAUACUACUUGUCUUGAGUUCGGGAGAGGAGUGUGGAAUUCCCAGUGUAGCGGUGAAAUGCGUAGAUAUUGGGAGGAACACCGGUGGCGAAGGCGGCACUCUGGACCGAUACUGACGCUGAGGCGCGAAAGCUAGGGGAGCAAACGGG
RNAcentral lists this ribosomal RNA (252 nucleotides) under uncultured bacterium. RNAcentral describes it as "partial 16S ribosomal RNA". It matches the Rfam family "Bacterial small subunit ribosomal RNA", at positions 525 to 776 of the family's 1533-position model. The record is from RNAcentral.